RNAcentral lists this ribosomal RNA (646 nucleotides) under uncultured bacterium. RNAcentral's name for it is "bacterial SSU rRNA". It matches the Rfam family "Bacterial small subunit ribosomal RNA", at positions 143 to 807 of the family's 1533-position model. The record is from RNAcentral.
AUAACAGUUGGAAACGACUGCUAAUACCGCAUAAGCGCACGGUAUCGCAUGAUACAGUGUGAGAAACUCCGGUGGUAUAAGAUGGACCCGCGUCUGAUUAGCUUGUUGGUGAGGUAACGGCUCACCAAGGCGACGAUCAGUAGCCGGCCUGAGAGGGUGAACGGCCACAUUGGGACUGAGACACGGCCCAAACUCCUACGGGAGGCAGCAGUGGGGAAUAUUGCACAAUGGGGGAAACCCUGAUGCAGCGACGCCGCGUGAGUGAUGAAGUAUUUCGGUAUGUAAAACUCUAUCAGCAGGGAAGAUAAUGACGGUACCUGACUAAGAAGCACCGGCUAAAUACGUGCCAGCAGCCGCGGUAAUACGUAUGGUGCAAGCGUUAUCCGGAUUUACUGGGUGUAAAGGGUGCGUAGGUGGUAUGGCAAGUCAGAAGUGAAAGGCUGGGGCUCAACCCCGGGACUGCUUUUGAAACUGUCAAACUAGAGUACAGGAGAGGAAAGCGGAAUUCCUAGUGUAGCGGUGAAAUGCGUAGAUAUUAGGAGGAACACCAGUGGCGAAGGCGGCUUUCUGGACUGAAACUGACACUGAGGCACGAAAGCGUGGGGAGCAAACAGGAUUAGAUACCCUGGUAGUCCACGCCGUAAAC